Molecule: unclassified non-coding RNA, 234 nt
Filed under: plant metagenome
Description: partial contains small subunit ribosomal RNA, internal transcribed spacer 1, and 5.8S ribosomal RNA
Source: RNAcentral
UUUCCGUAGGUGAACCUGCGGAAGGAUCAUUACAGUAGUCGCCCGGGUUGCCGCAAGGCCUCCCGGGUAACCUACCACCCUUUGUUUAUUACACUUUGGUGCUUUGGCAGGCCUGCCCUCGGGCUGCUGGCUCCGGCCGGCGAGCGCUUGCCAGAGGACCUAAACUCUGUUUGUCUAUACUGUCUGAGUACUAUAUAAUAGUUAAAACUUUCAACAACGGAUCUCUUGGUUCUG